This is a long non-coding RNA of Sphaerodactylus townsendi, 3276 nucleotides long. RefSeq lists it as uncharacterized. The record is from RefSeq and is a predicted model, not a curated record. NCBI's taxonomy places the organism in Eukaryota, Metazoa, Chordata, Lepidosauria, Squamata, Sphaerodactylidae. The transcript is spliced from 2 exons.
CCCUCUCCAGCCGCGUUCUACCGCGCGCGCACACACACACGGUCACGCGCACGCAACGGACUCUUCCCUCCCCCCGCGCUGAAGGCCACAGUCGUUUUAUUUCAUGCUUUCGCUGUUUCGAUUGAUAAAAAAAAAUCGGAGGCCGAUGUCUGAGGAAAACGACUAGAAAAACCAAUCCUAGAAUGCGUAAAUGUAAUUAAGUUACAACAACCCCGGGGGGAGGGGGGACACCCUGUUCUGUUCCGGUGUCGUUGUCUGAAGGCAAUGUUGGGCGGCGGCGUGAGCGGACCCGGCGGAAGGACUUUGCCCGUUGGCGGCUGAAAAAGCAGCAGCUUUUUCACCUGCCCGGUCGAGACAGGCCCGAAGUGGGAAAAACCGCGAAAAGGAGAAUUAAAGGGUCGUCAGGGCGGCAUCUACCGACCCUCAGUCCGCGCCGAGGCCCGAAGCUUUCAGACAAUAACUGCGCUGCCCCAUCCGGCAUAACUGCCUCAGCCUUGGCCCUGUCCACCAAUUACAGGCAAGGAAUUGCCGCGGAGCCGCAUGCGCCAGCCAAUCAAAAAAGCGUUAAGGGCCGGGUGCGUGUACGUCACCGCAAGUAGCAACAGCCGAGCAGAGUCGCCCCUCCCGCAAUAGCCUAACUUGUCAUUUGAGCUGAGGAGGAGGAAGAGAAGGAGAGGAAGUUGUGUGCGGUAGAAUUUCCUCCAGCUGUGAGAGUGUCUGGUUCAAGUUGGCAGGAGCCUGGCUGCUUAUAGUAUGGUUCUUUAUGAACCUAGUGCAUAGUGGUGUAUAGGAUUCGGCUACUAUCAUCAAGCAGCCUGAAGAAUAUGUCGGAGCGGAAGCGAAGCUCCCCUGAAACUGAUCAACAAGCUCUUGUUUCUUGAAAGAAAACAGAUGCUGGAACUUCUCUCAAUACUACAGGAAUGCCAGGAAAAUGUUGUUCAGCAGACUUCCUAAGAAUCCCAGAGAACAGCAGGGAUUUGUUGUUGAAAUUUUUAUAUUAGUUUCUCAACAUAUGGUGCUUCUGGCCUCACCCAUCUGCAGCUGUGGUUCAGACCAGCUCUUUGUUGAUGUGUUACAUCACACAUGCAGUGACUAUUCUAAAUCCACACCCAUUUUCUUAAGAGGCCUGUGCAGCCAAAAUUGUAGUUAAUGUUGAAAUUAUCAUAGCAUAAGUUGCAUUUAAAAGCUGCUAUGAGUUAGAGCCUAUCAGUUUUACUGCUGGUGAAAGAGAAAGAGCCCUUUUUGACAACUGGAAAAUCUACGCCAGGGAUCGUGAUACUCCCAUGGACAAAAACCAGGAAAUGGUAAUAGAAUGGAUAAGAGCCAAUAAACUGAAGCUCAGUCCAGACAAGACUGAGGAGCUGCUGCUCAGUGCCAAAACUGCUAAAGUAUUGAGGAAUCAACCUGUCCUGGAAAGGUUUGCUUAAAGGUCUCCUAAAGAAGGCUAUGGAGCUUAAGGGUACUGCCAGCUUCUGGCCUAUGGCUGGGAGCCCAGAUGGGAGUCAGCGACAAAUAGUACCUUUUAUCAGUUGCAGCUGAUAUGGCUUUUCCUGGAAAAGUGUGAUCUGGCCAUGGUGAUCUGGGCGCUGAUUACAUGUAGGUUAUAUUUAUAUGCUGUAUGUGGAGCUGCCUUUGAGAACUGUCCAGAAACUUCAGCUUGUCCACAGUGUAGCAGCCAGGCUGCUGGAAAAGACAGGAUACAGGGAUCUUAUCUCAGUGUUGAUAGAUCUCCAUCUGCAUUGACUGUCCAUUUCCUUCUGGGCAAAAUUCAAAGUGUUGGAUUUUAUCUUUUAAGGUCCUAAAAUAGUUUGGGUCCCCAGUACUGAAUGACCACCACUUCCCAUAUUGUCCAGCCUGUCAGUUCAAAUCUGCCUCAAAAGCCUUGGUCGCUGUGCCCCCACCUUCAGAGGUGAGGUGGAUGGCAGCCAGAACCAGAGCUUUUCACUUAGGAAACAGGACAACUCACUUAGAAACACAAACCCUUUUAGUUGAUUUUUCUCUGAGAACACUUAAUAUGCUCAGUGGCCUAUGUUUUUAUUCUGUGGUUGGGUUUUUAAUGCUGGAUUUUAAUAACUUCUAAUGUUUUGUUUUUGUUAUGUUUAUUUUGGUAAGCCACUCCAGGCAGGUUCCCUAGAGAGGCAACAUAAACAUCUGCUACAUAAAAUAAUAAGUACCACAGUGAGGACAGGAACCAGUUGAGUUCAGUAUCUUAAUCUCUGUAAAGUAUUCAGCAAGGGCUGUUGUAGUACAAUUACCUAAGUCUUCUUAAAGGAUCUAAUGCUGAAUUUUAACAGAAGGAGAAUACAAAUCAAGGCUUAAAAAUAUCUCAAUAUUAACUUAGGCUGAUGCUUGUCAACGUUUACUUCAUUUUCCAUUUUCAGAUGAUUUUUGGCUCCAAUAAAGCCAUACGGAUACUAGUCUCCUCCCAGUUUAUGCAUCAAACAGUCUGCAUUCUUUUACCACACUUUAUUAUGAAUCAGUAAUAUCAAUAGGAUAUAAUUUAGGUUUCCCUAGUUAAGUUACUGGCUACUUUAUCAUGUGGUGAAGUUAACUAUAUCCUAUAAAGCUCACACCACAUUACAUCUGUCAGUUGUUUCUCACUACAUGGCUUGUGACUUGAUAUGUCUGUGGGCCGUAGAACCAAAUACAAGAAAUUUUUCCCAUGUCUGUGGGCAGUAGAACCAAAUUUUUCCCAUGUCCAUGGGCAGUAGAACCAAAUACAAGAAAUUUUUCUCAAUGUAACAGUAUCACCAUCCAAAUUAAUUGCUUUCAGAUUGUUAAAUAUUGGCUAUUUAAACAGUGUUACUUCAGACUAGCAGUUAGAUCAAAUUAUUGAUAGAACUGUAUGCCAUUCGUAUUACAGAGCACUAGGUUCACUCCAAAGACUGAACUUUGGAGUGCUGGCUUGAAUCUUCUAUCAGUUGCCAAUUCUUUAUUUUUGUCUAACAUAAUCUUUUCCCCAUCAGGACUGGCUCUAUUGGCUCUAAUAGAAGAUUCAUAACUCUAAAGAGCAUACUGUAAGUUUUAAAGCUAAGUAGGUAUAGUUGAAUACCAAUUCUAACAUAUUUAAAAUAUUCUUUUAUACCAUCUUCAAUCGGUGCAAAAGCUGCUGAGUGUAUGAAUGUGUCAAUUUUCAUCUAUAUUUUUUAACUCCAAGACUGGAUGUAGAUGUUGCAAUUACAGUUCAGUAAACACUCUUUUUAGCUGGAAUGGCUGAUAUCAAGCAUACAUUCUACUUUGGCUAUAUAAACUGGCACCAGUCCUGGUGUUCACUGA